UACCGUGGAGGGAAAGAUGAAAAGAACUUUGAAAAAGAGAGUCAAACAGUACGUGAAAAUUGUUGAAAAGGGAAACGAUUGAAAGCCAGUCGUACCUACGGGUAAUCAGCCUUUCGGGUGUGAUUCUGUGGAGCGUGAGGAGUUAAACGCCUUCAUGCCUGCAUAUUCGUGCACCUUGGGUGUACUUGCCCGUGUGUAAGUUAACAUCAAUUUUGGUGGUCAUAAAAUGG
This 230-nucleotide ribosomal RNA is filed under the name Glomus sp. Dh2. RNAcentral's name for it is "partial large subunit ribosomal RNA". Lineage: Eukaryota; Fungi; Glomeromycota; Glomeromycetes; Glomerales; Glomeraceae. The record is from RNAcentral.